This 471-nucleotide ribosomal RNA is filed under the name uncultured bacterium. Its description in RNAcentral is "bacterial SSU rRNA". It matches the Rfam family "Bacterial small subunit ribosomal RNA", at positions 328 to 792 of the family's 1533-position model. The record is from RNAcentral.
CUCUGUGACUCCUACGGGAGGCAGCAGUGGGGAAUAUUGCACAAUGGGCGCAAGCCUGAUGCAGCCAUGCCGCGUGUGUGAAGAAGGCCUUCGGGUUGUAAAGCACUUUCAGUCGUGAGGAAGGUAGUGUAGUUAAUAGCUGCAUUAUUUGACGUUAGCGACAGAAGAAGCACCGGCUAACUCCGUGCCAGCAGCCGCGGUAAUACGGAGGGUGCGAGCGUUAAUCGGAAUUACUGGGCGUAAAGCGCAUGCAGGUGGUUUGUUAAGUCAGAUGUGAAAGCCCGGGGCUCAACCUCGGAAUUGCAUUUGAAACUGGCAGACUAGAGUACUGUAGAGGGGGUAGAAUUUCAGGUGUAGCGGUGAAAUGCGUAGAGAUCUGAAGGAAUACCGGUGGCGAAGGCGGCCCCCUGGACAGAUACUGACACUCAGAUGCGAAAGCGUGGGGAGCAAACAGGAUUAGAUACCCUGGAG